RNAcentral lists this ribosomal RNA (434 nucleotides) under uncultured Ruminococcus sp. RNAcentral's name for it is "partial 16S ribosomal RNA". It matches the Rfam family "Bacterial small subunit ribosomal RNA", at positions 341 to 792 of the family's 1533-position model. The record is from RNAcentral. Lineage: Bacteria; Bacillati; Bacillota; Clostridia; Eubacteriales; Oscillospiraceae.
ACGGAAGGCAGCAGUGGGGAAUAUUGCACAAUGGGGGAAACCCUGAUGCAGCGAUGCCGCGUGGAGGAAGAAGGUUUUCGGAUUGUAAACUCCUGUCUUAAAGGACGAUAAUGACGGUACUUUAGGAGGAAGCUCCGGCUAACUACGUGCCAGCAGCCGCGGUAAUACGUAGGGAGCGAGCGUUGUCCGGAAUUACUGGGUGUAAAGGGAGCGUAGGCGGGAUUGCAAGUCAGAUGUGAAAUAUACGGGCUCAACCUGUAGACUGCAUUUGAAACUGUAAUUCUUGAGUGAAGUAGAGGCAAGCGGAAUUCCUGGUGUAGCGGUGAAAUGCGUAGAUAUCAGGAGGAACACCGGUGGCGAAGGCGGCUUGCUGGGCUUUUACUGACGCUGAGGCUCGAAAGCGUGGGGAGCAAACAGGAUUAGAUACCCUGGUA